UAUACGUUUCGCGAGAAAAAUCACACGCGAGAUGACAGACGCGCAAGAUGACAGAGCAACGAGCGGACGUUCAUUCCGUGGAAGGAAUAUGAGAAAUGAGACAAAGUGAAAAUGACUGUAAGGCGCAUAAAAAUUAUGGUGUUGUCAGAUAACUUCUCUCGCGUAUCCGCGUAUGGAAAUAGAAUUUAGCGACUCCGUCUGAUGAGCGAUGCGUGCUUUCUUCUGCUACCUUAGGCGAAUAAAUGUUUCAUCCAUUUAACCUAUUCAACAUGGCCCUGAACCUUAAGAUCUCUCCCGAGGCGACGACUUUUAGAAUCUUUCGUACUUGGACAAACUUUCAGCCAACAUUUUUUACAAAUAAUUCACUUUUUCUUUCACAAAGAAAUAUUUUUUAAAAAGCUAAGUUGAGAGAGAUUAAACGGUUCAUUAAAAUACUUACUGAUUUUGUUCAAGAAUACUUCUUUCUCGCUCUGUACGAGAUAUUAUUAGGUCAAGAGAGAUAUAUAUAGGAAGAAAGGGAGAGAGAGAUGAUAGAAAUUGAAAUAUCUCCCAAGCAGCAAACUAGAUACACAAUGUUUAUUACUAUAACAAUUUUUUAAAUAAAUUG
Wasmannia auropunctata (little fire ant) is the source of this 607-nucleotide long non-coding RNA. RefSeq lists it as uncharacterized. The record is from RefSeq and is a predicted model, not a curated record. The transcript is spliced from 3 exons. Lineage: Eukaryota; Metazoa; Arthropoda; Insecta; Hymenoptera; Formicidae.